RNAcentral lists this ribosomal RNA (468 nucleotides) under uncultured bacterium. RNAcentral's name for it is "partial 16S ribosomal RNA". It matches the Rfam family "Bacterial small subunit ribosomal RNA", at positions 28 to 507 of the family's 1533-position model. The record is from RNAcentral.
GACGAACGCUGGCGGCGUGCUUAAUACAUGCAAGUCGAACGGAAAGGCCCUGCUCUUGUGGGGUGCUCGAGUGGCGAACGGGUGAGUAUCACGUGAGUAACCUGCCCUUGUCUUUGUGAUAACUUCAGGAAACUGGGGCUAAUAUCGGAUAUGAGCUCCUGCUGCAUGUUGUUGUUUGGAAAGUUUCGGCGGUUGUGGAUGGUCUCGCGGCUUAUCAGCUUGUUUGUGUGGUAGUGGCUUACCAAGGCUUUGACGGGUAGCCUGCCUGAGAGGGUGACCGGCCUCAUGGGGACUGAGAUACGGCCCAGAAUCCUAUGGGAGGCAGCAGUGGGGAAUAUUGCACAAUGGGCGGAAGUCUGAUGCAGAAACGCCGCGUGCGGGAUGACGGCCUUCGGGUUGUAAACCGCUUUCGACUGUGACGAAGCGUGAGUGACGGUAAUGGGUAAAGAAGCAACGGCUAACUACGUG